Aotus nancymaae (Ma's night monkey) is the source of this 279-nucleotide unclassified non-coding RNA. It matches the Rfam family "Metazoan signal recognition particle RNA". From Rfam's summary of the family: The signal recognition particle (SRP) is a universally conserved ribonucleoprotein. The record is from Ensembl. Lineage: Eukaryota; Metazoa; Chordata; Mammalia; Primates; Aotidae.
ACAGGGUGUGGUGGUGUGCGUACCUGUGGUCCCAGCUACACUGAAGGCUGAGGCUGGAGGAUGGCUUCAGCCAGUUCUGGGCUGUAGUACACUACACACUAAGUUUGGCAUCAAUAUGGUGACCUCCCAGGAGUUGGGAACCACCAGUUUGCCUAAGAAGUGAAACAGCCAAGACUGGAAACAAAGGAGGUCAAAACUCCUGUGCUGAUUAGCAGUGGAAUCGUGCCUGUGAAUAACCACUGCACUCCAGCCUGGACAACAUAGUGAGUCCCUGUCUCU